CAGAUGGGUUUCAAUAUAUCAAGAACCGCCUUGCAGGCCUGAAGCCAGAUGUUUUGAAGGAUCCCAUUUGUGUUGGUCUGUUUGGCAGCACUGGGGCUGGGAAAAGCACAUUACUGAAUGCGAUUCUUGAAAAAAAAUACUUCUUGCCAGUAUCUGGGAGCCAAACCUGCACAUCUUGUGUGGUGCAGGUCAACACAAGCCGCAACAAAUACUAUGAAGCAAAAAUUUACCUCCUGAGUGAUGAGGAGUGGAAGGAUGAACUGAAG
Non-coding RNA from Tinamus guttatus (white-throated tinamou), 266 nucleotides. NCBI's taxonomy places the organism in Eukaryota, Metazoa, Chordata, Aves, Tinamiformes, Tinamidae. The record is from RefSeq and is a predicted model, not a curated record.